Molecule: long non-coding RNA, 3024 nt
Organism: Hemicordylus capensis (graceful crag lizard)
Lineage: Eukaryota; Metazoa; Chordata; Lepidosauria; Squamata; Cordylidae
Exons: 3
Source: RefSeq, a predicted model, not a curated record
AAUGAGGGAGAUAGAGGUGCUGAUGCUCUGCACCUGGGCCAGCUAGUUUAAAGUAUUUUAUUUAUUUAUUGGCUUUCUUUCCUGAUGGAAUUCAAGGUAGUAUACCCAUAUUUCCCAGGCAGUUUUUAUCUGGGCACUGACCAGGCCCCAUCCUACCGCAGCCAAGUUGAAGCACUGUACCUCCAGACUAUGACCUCUGGCAACCGAGGAUGGGGAGUGAGAGACAAAGCAAUGAUUUCAACGAUGGACAAUAACUACCCUGGAGAUUGUUGGAAAUGUAUGGAGCAGACAGGUACCUUCUAUCACAUGUGGUGGACAUGAGCAGCAAGUCAUCUAAAGAAACCUAAAAGACUACAAGAAUGCCAUCACAAGAAUGCCACCUAUAAAGCCCUUAACGGCUGAGGUCCAGGGUACUUAAGAGAGCACCUUCUCUGUCAUGAACCCUCUUGCCUGUUAAGAUCAUCUGGAGAGGUCCGGUUAUGGUUACCGCCAACUCGUUUUGUGGCGACUUGGGACCAGGACUUCUCUGUGGCUGCCCUAGGGCUUUGGAAUGCACUCCCUGCUGAAAUAACAGCAUCUUCUCCUCUGUUUGUUUUUAGAAGGACUCUGACUCUAUUUUCCCAGGCCUUCAACUGAGACCAAAAUUUUAAAUUGUAAUGUGUUUUUAUCUAUUAUGAUUAGGGUGGAUUAGGAUUGCUCCUGUGGGCUAGCAUGGAGCUCUCAGAGUACACUCUAUGGGACUGGCUGCCCAAGUUGCCUCAUGGCACAAGAAGGGAUGCAGAGGGGAACAUAGUGACUGUGGUUCCAGUCAUGCAUUGGCAUACCAGGUCCCUUAUCAGCUUUGACUCAAACAUUAUGCAGAGGCUGUAGCCAGAGGCUGAGAUGAUGACUGCCACUUAACACACAAGGGAGCAUAAGCAUGCUAAAGUUUUGAUCUGACUGAGCAUUAUGUAAAUCCACUGGCUCUGCAUAAAAGCACUUUUUUCGGGCUAAUUAGUAACCUUUUGACAGUGUUUUCCCACCUAAUUGCUGCUCUUCACAUGUCUGGCUGAAGACCAAGAAUGCCUGCCAAGCCAAGUUGUAAUAACUAGGUAGGGGCUCAAUUAUGCACUAGCUUAUUUCAUGCCUUGGGCCUAAUUGAAGUGAGCAGAGCCCUUUGAGUCAGUCAGUAUUUGCUAAGUCUGGCCCUUGUAGUGUUCUUGGUUAAUCCAUUCCUUGAUCCAGGCCGGCUUUUGAAUGGUGAUUUAGUUACUUUUAUUAUUAUUUUGUUUUGAAUAAACAAAAUAAUUUUUUAAUUUAUAUUAUUAUGCUAUUUACACACAGUCUACCAGAUGUUAUUGGCUGGAUUUGGUGCUUUAAUUAUCGGGCCCUUUCCGAGGGUCUAGGAUAACUAAAGAAAAAUUAAAGAUAGUGUCGUAGUAUUCAUGCUGUCCUGAGUAGUGUGGCCCUCUGUAGCUGAUGUGUUGUAUUUUAUAAUUUAUUGAUUUUCUGUGACUGUAUACUUUCAAUGUUGAGUUUGUUCUCCCAGUAGCUCUACGGUCUCCAGCCUUGGUUGCUCAGCUGAAGAUCCUGAGUCCUGUAACCCAUUUUUCGACAAGUGCCCAGGGGCUCUAGUACUUGACGUAACCCUUGUUGACCCGGGCAAAGACCGAUCCGGUAUAGAAUUCGUUUUUCUUGUUCUCACCAUGGUUAUGGGACGAGGCACAUUUAGUCUGACUUCUCAGCAGAGAGCUAUCUUCUUCUUCUUCUUCUUCUUCUUCUUCUUCUUCUUCUUCUUCUUCUUCUUCUUCUUCUUCUUCUUCUUCUUCUUCUUCUUCUUUCUUGUUUACAGUGUCAGACAGGUGUUAUUGACUGGUGUGCUUAUUAUUAUUAUUAUUAUUAUGAAUGGUGCUUUAGUUACUUUUAGUAUUUUUUUAAAAAAAUUCCAGUCCUGGAGUAGAGGCGGGGCUAACAGCUAGCAGCAAGAACACGGAAAAGUAGUCUGCACUUGCCUCUCUGUAAAUAAUAUAUAUUUCAAUAAACAGUUAAUAUUCCUGAUAUUACUCCUUGCAUACCACAACUCUUUCCUCUGGAUUCUAUAGUCUUCACCUUUUAAGAACAUGGAGAGUCCUCCUCUGAACUGGGCGGUCAAUAUUUUUUGUGUGUGCCACGAGUGAAUCAUUCCUGGACCCUUUUAAUGUGAGAUAGAAAACGAAAGUAACCCUGUGUUUGAAUUGAAUGUUAAGCCUUGCUAAUAUAGAUUUUACAAUCAAAAUUUCAGAUGUAGGAAGUACAAAAGAAUGAUUUAAGCAUCAUUUGGGAAAACAGCUUUGGGCAGCUUUGGGGCAGAUUUAAGCAUCACCUGGGAAAACAGAAGAACAGCUUUGCGGCCAAAAGCAGAGGAAAAUACUGCUACCAAGCUAUGUGGGCUAUGCCCCACUUUCCAGUUGUGUCAUGCAAAUGGGAGGAGAGCUGGUUUUGUGGUAGCAGGCAUGGAUUUUCCCCUUUGCUAAGCAGGGUCCACCCCGGUUUGCAUUUAAAUAGGAGACUAUAUGUGUCAACACUGGAAGAUAUUCCCCUUGGUGGGGUGGUGCUCGGGGAAGAGCAUCUGCAUGUAGAAGGUUCCAUGUUUCCUCCCUUGCAUCUCCAAGACAGGACUGAGAGAGACUCCUGCCUGCAAGCUUGGAAUAGGCAACUACCAUUCUGUGUAGACCAUACUGAGUUAGAUGGACCAAUGGUCUGACUUGGUAUAAGGCAGCUUCCUGUGUUCCUAUGUCAGGACUGUUUCAGUUGUUACUUUCCCCCAGUACCAGCUUGUUGUCUUCUCUCCUCCUCCUCUCCCUGUUGUUUCCUUUCCUAGUGUUGUUGUUGCUGCUGCUGUUACUACAUUUAUUUAUAUACCACUUUUCAACAAAAAGACAGUUCUCAACAUGGUUUACAUAGAAAUGGAAAUACAGUGAUCAUCUUUAGACUAUAAGCUCUUCAGGCCAGGGACCUGUCUUUGCUUAUGGUACUCAGUGAUGACACUAUACUAAUCAAAAAACA